AUCUUCAGGGUCGGGUGCAAAUCCCAACCGGCGGUUAUAGUCCGCGACCUAUUAUCGAUGAUAGUAGCUGAUUUGGUGAAAAUCCAAAACCGACAGUAAAGUCUGGAUGGAAGAAGAU
The sequence is a non-coding RNA, 118 nucleotides long. It matches the Rfam family "FMN riboswitch aptamer (RFN element)". Rfam says of the family: The RFN element is a highly conserved domain that is found frequently in the 5'-untranslated regions of prokaryotic mRNAs that encode for flavin mononucleotide (FMN) biosynthesis and transport proteins. This element is a metabolite-dependent riboswitch that directly binds FMN in the absence of proteins.